CCUCACGAAAACUCCUCCCGCUGCACCUGAAAAAGGCGUCUAUUGACAAACUUGGCUGAAAGAAGCGAGGCGAGCGCUAGGCGAGUAGAUUUAGGAUCUGGAGCUCCAAGUCCUGUGUAAACCGUCCAGAGGAAGGAGGAGGGGUGGGGGUGGGGGGAAACACCCGGAGAUACCGAAGGGAAGAAUUGGCUUGUUGGUUAGAUCAGCGAGCUGUGCGCAUCGACUCGGCUCCCCUCCUGGUUCUCUCUUCCCCCCGCCCGCUCCGAUUCACACCCCCUUCGGCUCUAGCUGGGCUUGUGCUGGCAUCGCUCUGCACUGCAUGACAGCUCCAGGCUCCGAAGACUACGUAGCAGCCGGCAGUGGGAAGCCAAGCCCAGCUGAGGAAGAUCUGAGGACGGCUACGCGCCGGGGAUCGGCGGGGGUGUGAGCCCAGAAGGCACCUUGCCCUGUCUGAUUCCCAGGGCGCUGCCGCCGCCUCUUCCUCCUCCUCUUCUCCGAUUGCCUUUCGCUCCUGUUUAUAACCCCACCCCUGACCUUAUUCUCUGGCCGCCCAAGACUGAGCAGAAAGACAGAAGCCCAGAGAGAGAGAGAGAGAGAGAGAGAGAAAAUAGCACCGGGUCAAGGAGAAAUACCUGCGCAUCGCAAUUAGACUGCAAUUGAUGGGAGAUACACAUUUCUUUCUCUAGGGAAGCUGGUUACUCGCCCGCCCCCUUUUCUCUCUCUCUCUCUCUUCUAAAGAAAAGAACCUGGUCGAAAGCAGAAAGGGGGAGAAAAGCGGGGGUUCUGCUCCAAAAAAAAAGAGAGGGCAGCGGCAACGAAAGGAAUCGGGGAGAAUUUCGCCGAGCGUUUCCCUCCCUUUGUUGAAUGAGAAGGACGGCGGCAGAUCACCAUGAGCACCAGCAUUCCUUUUCAACAAAACCCAUACAACUCUGGGGGUCGUCCCACCAUAAUUCAAUGCUAUCGCUGUGGAGAUACUUGUAAAGGCGAGGUGGUGCGUGUCCAGAACAAUCACUUCCACAUCAGAUGUUUCACAUGCCAGGUGUGCGGCUGUGACCUAGCUCAGUCUGGCUUCUUCUUUAAGAAUGGGGAAUACAUCUGCACCCACGACUACCAGCAGCUCUAUGGCACCCGCUGUGACAGCUGCCAAGACUUCAUCACUGGAGAGGUUAUCUCAGCCUUGGGCCGGACUUACCAUCCCAAGUGCUUUGUGUGCAGCAUGUGCAGGAAGCCCUUUCCUAUUGGAGAUAAAGUGACAUUUAGCGGCAAGGAUUGUGUUUGCCAAACUUGUUCUCAUUCACUGAUUAGUAACAAACCUAUCAAGAUUCAUGGACCAAGCCAAUGUGCAGGUUGCAAAGAGGAAAUCAAGCAAGGUCAGUCCCUCCUGGCUUUGGAAAAACAGUGGCAUGUCAGCUGCUUCAAGUGCCAAACCUGUGGAAUCAUCCUGACUGGGGAAUACAUUAGCAAGGAUGGUGUUCCAUACUGUGAAUCGGACUAUCAUGCCCAAUUUGGUAUUAAGUGCGAGACCUGCAACCGGUAUAUUAGUGGCAGAGUCCUAGAGGCAGGAGGAAAGCACUAUCAUCCCACUUGUGCCAGAUGUGUUCGAUGUCACCAGAUGUUCACAGAAGGGGAAGAAAUGUACCUCACAGGUUCAGAAGUAUGGCAUCCUAUCUGCAAACAAGCAGCAAGAGCAGAAAAGAAACUAAAGCACAGAAGAACUUCAGAGACAUCCAUAUCCCCUCCUGGCUCCAGCAUUGGUUCCCCCAACCGAGUCAUUUGCGCUAAAGUGGAUAAUGAAAUCCUUAAUUACAAAGAUUUGGCUGCUCUUCCCAAGAUUAAAGCCAUCUACGAGGUGCAACGCCCUGACCUCAUUUCUUAUGAGCCCUAUCACAGAUAUACUUCGGAUGAAACACUGGAGAGAUAUAGCUAUGGGGAGUCUCUUGGAACCUUGUCUCCAUAUUCUCAGGAUAUUUAUGAGAGCAUGGACAUCAGGCAGAGGCGAGCAUCCAGCCCAGGCUACAUAGACUCACCCACCUACAGCCGCCAAGGCAUAUCUCCCACCAUCCCACGCUCUCCGCAUCAUUAUUACCGCUCAGGGACAGAGAGUGGGCGCAGCUCCCCCUACUAUAGCCAAUUAGAUGUGAGGUCUUCUACACCAACCUCAUACCAAGCUCCUAAGCAUUUCCACAUUCCAGCUGCUGCAGAGAGUAACAUCUAUCGGAAACCACCCAUCUAUAAAAGACACGAUUCCCACUCUGCAGCUACAAAAAGCAAAACUAGUGAAGACAUCACCCAGACCUCCAAAUAUAGUCCAGCAUAUUCUCCAGAUCCAUAUUAUCACUCUGAAACAGAGUAUUGGACUUUUCAAGGUUCACCCAAAGCUCCCCGAGUUCGAAGAUUCUCAUCAGGAGGAGAAGAAGAUAGCUUUGAUCGAGGGAUGCACAGAAUCCAGACAGGAAUUGGCCGAUUAAUAUUGAAGGAAGAAAUGAAGGCCCGUGCUAAUUCAUACAUGGACCCUUGGACGCCUCCCCGCAGCUCAGCGAGCAGCAGAGAAGCUCUUCAUACAGCAGGCUACGAGGGCUCCUUAAAUGGCUCACCCCGGUCACACUACCUGGCAGACAGUGAUCCUCUCAUUUCAAAAUCCGCUUCUCUUCCUGCUUACAGAAGGAAUGGGCUGCAUAGGCCUCCCAGCGCUGAACUCUUCCACUAUGACAGCACAAAUGCUGUCAACUGGGGGAUGCGAGAAUACAAGGUAACAUGCUCUCAAGAACCUUACAAGAUUUCUAGCCUCAUGGAUGCUGUCUCUUUGGAAAGCAGGAAGCUGUCACUAUAUUAAAUAGCAACCAGGAAAAGCUGCAUUAAUAGCCAAUUAAAAGAGAAUCUGAUCUUGUUCUCUUUUGCUUCUUUUGGUGCCUUGAGUAACAUCUAUUUGAAUAAAGGCAUCAUCAAUGCCUAUUGCUAAGUCAGGAGCUUCUAAAUCUUUUGCCACCAUGCUUCCCUUUAGUGUAGUCUUAAUGUAUACCUCCCCUAAAAAUCUAAAUACCAAAAUGUACAAAUGAACAAUGAAAACAUUGCAAGUUUCAUUGUAUUGUUUUCAUUGUGUUCAUUUUGGUGUUUGGAUGGUGGGUUUAUUGUAAUAAAGUAACAAAAAUGCAUCCUUCACAUUCCCUUGGUCUCUGUCUGUACCUGUCGUGUCCCACUCCUCCUCUGACGGCCGGGUCGGGGAAGUCUGUAUCAAGCAUGGCCACAAAGCCGCUGCAGCUUUGCCAAAGUUCUGUCAGAGUUCUCAGGGCAGGCAGGAGUCCAAGAUGUGACUUCAGCAAUCCAAAUUAGACUUUGCCUGACUCAAAGAAGGCCAUGGGGUAUGGCUCCAUGACUCAGCACUUAUCCAGGCCUGCCCCUCCCUUCCUUUUGCUGACGUCACCUCUCCAUUCUCCGGAAGUGUGGAUCCUUCCACCCUCCAGCUGCUGGCAAUUCCAGCUCAUGACUGGCUUCAUACUCCUCAUGUUCACAUGCUGCGGGGGAGGGGUUUAUUUCCUCAGUUUGUCCAGGCAUGGUGCCAGGACUGGGGGCUGAAGGCAUGCCAGGCCAUUCAUCUUGCUCUGUCUGUCUGGGCAUGGUGCCAGGACUGGGGGCUGGAGGCAUGCCAGGCCGUUCGUCUUCAUUAUCUGUCUCUGGCUGAGAUAACAGGAGAUGAGAGGGGCCCGGCUGUGGAGAGGGGGGCGAGCGAGGCACAACAGUACCAGUGGUGAAAUCCAAAUUUAUUUAGUACUGGUUCUGUGGACGUGGCUUAGUGGGCAUGGUGAGGCUUGGUGGGCAUGGCUUGGUGGGCAUAGCAUGGGAAGUAUACUGCAAAAUCUCCAUUCCCACCCCACUCUGGGGCCAGCCAGAGGUGUUAUUUGCCAUUUCUCCAAACUACUCAAAAUUUCUGCUACCAGUUCUCCAAACUGCUCAAAAUUUCUCCAGAACCUGUCAGAAUCUGCUGGAUUUCACCCCUAGUCUGUACCUCCCCCAAAAAGGUAUGGCUCACAGUUUGGGGAACCCAGUCCUAAACUGUGAACUUCAGAUGUACUGAAUUUCCAUGAUCAUAAACUAAUAUGGCCUUGGAAAAUUCUUUGGGUUAUGAAACUUCGGACUAGUAUAUAUGUGGAUGGUGCUGAGCUGAGUUUGAUGAUUUAGAAAGAAAUCUUAAUACUCCUUAUAUUUGAGACAUAUAAAAAAAAGAAUUGUUUGAUAAAAAAUAAGAAUUGUAUGAAUGAAUGAAUGAAAGAAUGAAUGAAUGAGGUCUUUGUGAAAAUGUGUGCUAUUGAAGAAUUAAAUCAAUACAGUUGUGGUAAAACUGAGUGCUAUAGGAAUGCUAAGAGAAAGUAAAGUAUAAAAUAAAGUAAAGAAGGAGGGUAUUUGAGGAAUUAAGUUAAGGUUAUUAGAAGUCAAGAAAGGUGAAAAUGAAAAUGUUGCUCUACAUUGCUUCUAGUUUUUAUUUUUAACACUUGCUAGAACUCUCUUUUCUAUGUGCCAAGAACACUGACUGCCAUUCAAUUGCUAAUAAACAAAUGAAAACAAAUCAUUUCCCAUAGAUAUUAAAAUUAUAUCCCGUCUGGGUUGUAAUAUCAUAAUUCACCUUCAGAUUCCUGGAUUCCCCUGGUCUCUUCUGGUAACAGAUAUCUGGCCCUAUUGCUUUGAGGCAACAUCAGCCUAAAUUAGAUUCUCCCAGAGCAACUUCACAUUGAAAAGGUAUAACUAGAAGUUAUAAAAUGUCUUUCUGCAAAUUAGCAUUUCGUGACCUGCUUCAGCUCAACUAUCUUUGACUUCAGUUCCUAAAGUAUAUACUGACAGAAAAGUAUAAUAAUUGAAAUUCAAUAUGAUUUAUGAGUAAUGCUGACUGCCAGAUUUUCAAACAGAAAUCUUUUCCUGAGUCUAUCUGAGGCUGAGAAAUAAACUUGGUUUGUUGUUUGUUUAUUUUUUUUGUAUAUGUAAAACAUGACCUUUGUUACUGAGCUCCUGUCUACUAUGUUCUACAAAGAAGAACAUUAUUUUACUAUUAUUAAUAAUUACAGCAUAUUACUAAUAAUAUGCUGAAUUAAUUAAAGGUAAAUUUCUGCAUCUUUUGGGGCUUUAACUGACCAUAUAAGCAAUGGAUGGAAACUAAUCAAGGGAAGAACCAACCUGAAACUAAGGAGGAAUUUCCUGACAGUGAGAACAAGUAAUCAGUGGAAUGACUUGCAAACAGAAGUUGUGGGUACUCUCAUAUUGGGGUCUUAAAAAUAGAUUGGGCAAUCAUUUGUCUGAAAUAGUAUAGGGUUUCCUGCUUGAGCAGCAUUGUCCCUUCCAAUGUCCCUUCCAGCUCUGUUAUUUUGUUAUCAUUAUGGCAUCACUUGUGCUGCUGCUAUCCUGAGCAUAUAGAAACUGUAAAUAUCAGUGUUACACUGAAUUGAAUCACUGUAUUGUAAUCAGAGAAAGCUGUAAUAUCCUCCAAAAAUAUUUUUGUACUUCUCUUAUGGCAUGCGUUAAAUUGUGAGUUGCCAGAUUCAUAUUACAAUUAAAUCUAAUUAAAUUAGUAAAUAAAUAAAUAAUUUUUCACACCUACCAGCAUUUUUACCCAGUCAUUUUUCCCAGGCAGUCUGGGAACCCUGCAGUAAUUAUCUUCACUUCUACUGAUUGUAAAAAACAGGAAAAAAUGUAGGGAAUCGGCACUCUCUUUCUUUAUAGCUGAUUAAUAGGAGAUGAAAAAUAAGACAUCCUACCAAUGUCCCAACUGCUGAGCUAUCAUGGGUCAUGGUGUAAUAAAAAUCACAUCAUCACCAUGUCACACAGAAAAGGAAACAACUUAGUAGCAUCUCAACCCAUGUUUUACAUUAUGUGAAAUCAUUUAGUGUUUCCAAAACAAAGAAUCCCAAAAGAUUACAAUGGGAAACUCUCUGAAGAUGAUUUCUUCAAAAUGUAAAGAAAAAUGCUGGUUCCCUGUAAAGGCUUCCUGACCAUCUUCCCCUAUUCCUCUGUGGCAAUUAAAAAAAUGGUAAUUAAAAAAAAACAACCUCUGAAUUUGUAAAGGCGAAAUGUUAAGCUUGCUGGCAAUUUUGCAACCUUUCCAAUAGAACACUGUGAUGAGGGUUAUAUGACACUACUAAACAGGAUGCUAAAUCUCUAUGAGCAGAACUUAAGGCUAGGUGCUAGAAAGCAGUAGUAUUUAUUUAUUUAUUUAUUUAUUUAUUUAUUUAUUUAUUUAUUUAUUUAUUUAUUUAUUUAUCUUGUCACAACAAUAUAUAGUAGACAAGCAUUUUGCCCAAAGGAAAAUGGACUACUUAUAAGUUUUACAGAGAAGCUGCAUUUCAAUAGGUAGGAAAUGCCAGCAUUGCUGUGAUUUCCAAUAAACUGGAAUAGACUCAAAAAUUAAUAAACUCACAUCCCAACAUAGAAAAUAUUGUGAGAUUGAUCAGAUCCCCAAGGCUAAAUCCUAAAGUGCUGGUGUGGAAGCUUCCAUAUAUUUUCUCAAAACUACGUUCAGCUGAUUCUUAUUUUUCUGAUUCUUUCAUCCAGCAUCAUAUUUUUUUCCCUUUCUUUUGUAGAUAUACCCUUAUGAGUUGCUUUUAGUGACAACUAGAGGAAAAAAUCGCUUGCCCAAAGAUGUGGACAGAACUCGGUUAGAGCGCCAUCUGUCCCCAGAGGAAUUUUACCAGGUGUUUGGCAUGACUAUUGCUGAAUUUGAUCGCCUGGCUUUGUGGAAAAGAAAUGAGUUGAAGAAGCAGGCUCGGCUAUUUUGAAAACAGUAUAUAUAAAAACUAUAUAAAUAUCUCUAUAUAUAGAUGCUCUGUAUAGUACAGAGUAGAAUUUCUGGCUGUUCUCUUUGGAAGCCUGUAGAAUGAACCGAAGUCUCACAGAUAUUUUUAUGCUCUUUUGUUUCUUUUAUUCUUUUUUUUAAAAGAGUAACUGUUAUUUGGGAAACUUUUCAAGUGUGGGGUGGAUGUGGGAACCUCUUUUAUACUGAGCUGUUUCUUUUUCUUACAUCAAUGUUGAGAACCUUGGGCAUUAUCGUAGCUCACCCGUGAGCCUCUUGAAAGCAAGUCUGGAGAGAGAGGAUGAUGGAACGGGGGGCAUUUUUGAUAGAGCCAAUCAUCCUUAUAUGCCUCCACACCCCACCCCAUGGUUUCAGAAUAUCUGAAGUAUGCUGCUGAAUCAGGCCAAGGAUUUAUCUCAACCUGCCUUUUGUUUCUAACAAUAGCUCAACAAAUACCUUUUUGCAUUCUUCUAUUAUUUUUCUCACUAUCUUAAUCAUCUCCAAGGCAAUAUAUAUAUAUAUAAAAGAAAGUUGGCUGGACAGAUUUUGGUUUUAUCUGUGUUCUUUUCUACCAGCAUGUUUAAACCUUGGUGUAAAACAUCACAACAUCAAGAUCUUGGUAUAAGAUCUCACAACACCUUUGCACCGAGAUUUAAACAUGCUGGUAUAAAAGGACAUAAAUAAAACCAAAAUCUAUUCAGUCAUUCUUUUUUUCCCCCCUUACAGCAGACAUCCAAAUGACUCUUGGAAAUUAAAAAGAUGGGCUUUAAGGUGAUGAGCAUCCCUAUGCUUUAUGUUCCUCCCUGCAGCAUCCAGCAAUCAGAUUGAUUGCCUCUAUGUAUGGAGGCUUUAUAUAGCUAUUAUUGAGAGUAACCAUCUUUAAAAUGAUUUUUCCAUGAAUAAAUAUUAACUUCCAAAAUUUCUUUUUUUCUCUGAGUGGCAGUGACAUGUAGCUGUCUUCCAUUCCUCUUCAGAGAUCUGUAGAAAGCCGUGCACUGAAACACUUACUAAAAUUCAUUCCGGUUCAGCAGAUACUACUACAUUCAGGGAAUAGGAAGUUGGGUUUCUUAGAACACAGAAUUAUAUGCUCACCUAAAUAUUUAGGUACUUUAACACAAUUUUGGAUAUCAUUUACAUUUGCACAAGUCUAUAUACAGCCUUCCCCAAUCUAGUGGUCUCCAAACAUGCUGGACUAAAACUUCUUGACGUCAUACUGAACUAUGUUUGUAGAGGCUAGUUUGGAGGUACAAUCUGUGAUAUGCACCCAAUUAUAAAUUAUCUUCCUUUCGAUUAUAUCAAUUUUCUCUUUUAUUGCUAGUCACUUUAAGCAGUCAUUUUUUUAAAAAGCCCACUGCUAUGAAAAAGCUUAACCUUACAAAGAACAAACUUUUCAAAAAGGGGAAAAAUCACAGGGAAUAAUUGGCACCACUGUCCAAUUCUCAAACAAAACAGUUCUAUACCCUAAUCAGUGGUUUGUUGAAUAAAUCAUAAUAGUGGAAAGCCAUUAAUCAUAGUUUAGAAGUGACUUGAUUCACAUAAUAUGCUGAGCUAAAAUCCAAUAAACUAUAUUAUGGCUUAGCAUGAUAUGUGAACCUUGUCACUGUUGUUCUUUAAAUAAACUUUGGCUAUGGUUGUUAAAAAAAGAAUGAUGCUUUACUCAGGCAGAUGUGAUGUUCAAAGCAUUUCAUCUGAACUUUUAUGUGAGUUUUAUAUAUGUUUUGCGAAAACAGCAGUCAUAUUAGGAAUAAAACUUUGAACUUUCAAACAUAUAUAAAAACUGUUGGAUUAUAGGGGAAAAAGAGUUUGGAGAAGCCUUGGCACUUGAAAUGUCUCGUUCAUCUUUAAUUUAACUAAUUUAAUUGCAUACAGUAUGUCUGGCCUUUCAUGGUCACUAGCCACAUUUCUGAUAUUGUGUCAAAUCAGUAGGAUCAACUCCUAAAUGAAGAAAUGUUCGUGGAAUGUUUUGAUUUGGGAGAUUGUAUGUUUGUUCUUUCUUAUAAGAAAAAGAAAUUUCUUACCUAAUACACUGUUUGAACAAAAUAAUUGUGAGUUGUCUCGU
This is an RNA transcript of Ahaetulla prasina, 8831 nucleotides long. It is a transcript of the gene named actin binding LIM protein family member 3, with no coding region annotated. The transcript has 22 exons. The record is from RefSeq and is a predicted model, not a curated record. NCBI's taxonomy places the organism in Eukaryota, Metazoa, Chordata, Lepidosauria, Squamata, Colubridae.